GACAGAGGGUGCAAACGUUGUUCGGAAUUACUGGGCGUAAAGCGCGUGUAGGCGGCCCUGCAAGUCGGAUGUGAAAUCCCACGGCUCAACCGUGGAAGUGCAUUCGAAACUGCAGGGCUAGAGUCCUGGAGAGGAAGGUGGAAUGCUUGGUGUAGAGGUGAAAUUCGUAGAUAUCAAGCGGAACACCUGUGGCGAAGGCGGCCUUCUGGACGGUGACUGACGCUGAGACGCGAAAGCGUGGGGAGCAAACAGG
This 253-nucleotide ribosomal RNA is filed under the name uncultured bacterium. Its description in RNAcentral is "partial 16S ribosomal RNA". It matches the Rfam family "Bacterial small subunit ribosomal RNA", at positions 524 to 776 of the family's 1533-position model. The record is from RNAcentral.